This 253-nucleotide ribosomal RNA is filed under the name uncultured bacterium. RNAcentral's name for it is "partial 16S ribosomal RNA". It matches the Rfam family "Bacterial small subunit ribosomal RNA", at positions 524 to 776 of the family's 1533-position model. The record is from RNAcentral.
UACGUAGGGGGCAAGCGUUGUCCGGAUUUAUUGGGCGUAAAGAGCGUGUAGGCGGCCAGACAGGUCCGUUGUGAAAACUCGAGGCUCAACCUCGAGAUGUCGAUGGAAACCGUCUGGCUAGAGUCCGGAAGAGGAGUGUGGAAUUCCUGGUGUAGCGGUGAAAUGUGUAGAGAUCGGGAGGAACACCGGUGGCGAAGGCGGGUCUCUGGACAGUUCCUGACGCUGGGGCACGAAGGCCAGGGGAGCAAACGGG